This is a long non-coding RNA of Balaenoptera musculus (blue whale), 156 nucleotides long. RefSeq lists it as uncharacterized. The transcript has 3 exons. Lineage: Eukaryota; Metazoa; Chordata; Mammalia; Artiodactyla; Balaenopteridae. The record is from RefSeq and is a predicted model, not a curated record.
AAAAAAACCCAAGAAAACCAACUAAAUGAAAUGGCGAUAGGCAAACUACCAGAAAAAAAAUUCAGAGUAAUGAUAGUAAAGAUGAUCCAAGAUUUCAGAAAUAGACUGGAGGCAUGAAUUGAGAAGAUACAAGAAAUGUUUAACAAGGACAUAGAA